This 279-nucleotide ribosomal RNA is filed under the name uncultured bacterium. Its description in RNAcentral is "partial 16S ribosomal RNA". It matches the Rfam family "Bacterial small subunit ribosomal RNA", at positions 506 to 784 of the family's 1533-position model. The record is from RNAcentral.
UGCCAGCAGCCGCGGUAACACGGAGGGUCCAAGCGUUGUCCGGAUUUAUUGGGUGUAAAGGGUGUGUAGGCGGGCUUGUCAGUCAGAGGUGAAAUCCUACGGCUCAACCGUAGAACUGCCUUUGAUACUGCAAGUCUUGAGUCCUGGAGAGGUUGUUAGAAUUCGUGGUGUAGCGGUGAAAUGCGUAGAUAUCACGAGGAAUACCGGUUACGAAGGUUGACAACUGGACAGGCACUGACGCUGAGGCACGAAAGCGUGGGGAGCAAACAGGAUUAGAUA